Pantherophis guttatus is the source of this 316-nucleotide non-coding RNA. The record is from RefSeq and is a predicted model, not a curated record. NCBI's taxonomy places the organism in Eukaryota, Metazoa, Chordata, Lepidosauria, Squamata, Colubridae.
GCCCCCACUCCGGUCUGGCUCGUGGCAAAGCAGAACGGCUUGACCCAGAAGUAGCACGCUCGCUGCACGCAAAGGAAGUACUCGGCCUCUUGAUCUGGACCUCCCUCGCCCUAAACUCUGCUUUGUUUAAUCAUGAUCAGUUGCUCUUCCCCACUUGGAACGUUGUUAUUUCAACAUGCCAAGGUAUCUUACCCUGGCUGAUACAACUGAGAGGAUCUCAAAGGAAGCAUGAUAAAUUCCAGAGCCAGGGCCCCCCAACUCCAAUUUACACACCUGUUUAGCAUUUCCAGCAUGGCCAUGGAAAGCAGAAGACAAG